Molecule: long non-coding RNA, 3606 nt
Organism: Acinonyx jubatus (cheetah)
Lineage: Eukaryota; Metazoa; Chordata; Mammalia; Carnivora; Felidae
Exons: 3
Source: RefSeq, a predicted model, not a curated record
GCGGGCUGCAGCAAAGCCGGGAAAGGAAACGCCCACCGGAUCUAGACGUGCCUGCGCGCCUGCGCGCACGCACAAGCGCGACAGGGUCCCUGCUUCUCGACGGUGCGCGAACACGCACCCCAGCAAAGCGCGAGAGCGUCCACACGGCAGGCAGACCACACGCCGUGCGGGCCCCUCUCCGGAGAAUGUGAGCCAUGAAGGCAGGAGCCACGUGUCCUUCACGGCUGUAUCCCUAGCACCCAAAAGAGUGUCACCGAACGACUGAAUGAAGGAUGAGCUUUGGAAGGAAUGGGGCCGGAAGCGGCAGACAGUGGGACAGACGGCAGGACGGGGAGGCUUCCAAGGACGAGGUGCUCUACCUGGCGGUAUUCUGAGGAAGCAGGGGUGCUUGCUGGUGGCUGUUUCGUUUUCUGAGUCUUGGCUUUACCUUCCUUCCUGGCCCCUUCCACGGGCUCAGCGGGCCGGGUUACAGCAGCAUCUUCCUGGAGGAGACAAAGGCCCCGGACGUCAGGGCGCAGGUGCCGCGAUGGCAUGAGGGCCAGCACUGGCCGCCACCAGCCCAGGAGAGGGGCCGGCAGCUCCGGGAGGGGCACCGUCCCCAGGGACGUGUCCCCAGUGCCCCUCCUGGGCAGGGAGGCGACGUGGGACUGCUUGGGAGAGCAAACGGUCGGGGCAGGUGCGCCUACAGCCAGCAGGACACAUGGGGCCUCCCCGAAGCGAGAUUUCCUGGCCUGUCUGACCACAGACACCCAACUACCGUCGUGGGGCGAGAAAGAGGCUUUAGAGAGGUCACUGAAGGCGAUGACUUCUCCAGCGUCCCAGGGCCCACGGAGCACUCGAAAGCUUGCUAAUGUGCGGACGGUGACCGGGCAGGUGCGGGGGACCCGGGAGGACUCUGCAUCUCCAAGGAGCCACUGCGGGGCGGGGGGGCUGCUGGGGAGCAGCAGACCAGCUCUGUUCUGACCAGGCCCUGGCUGCAGCAUCACCACUAGGCCUCCCGAGGGUUCGAACCCCGGCCGGGCCGAGAACCACUGAUUCGGCAGAAGGCAGCCUGCACAGACACGUGGCCCACGGCCCUCUGCAGAAUCUUCUCCGACUCAGCUCGAGGCUUGCUUCAGCCGAGCUGCACACUGACUGAUCGAGGAACCUGGAAAGAACCCGGUGCCAGGCACAAGGAACGAGACAGCAGGACGCAUUCCUCCCCCGCGAAGCCAGUGGGUUAGUAAGAGCGACAGGCUACUGACCAUUUGAGCCUGUGGAAAACGCCAAGGACAGAGGCGCUCCAGGGCCUGGGAUCUCAGAGGGGGUCCCUAGCCCGGAAGGCUUCCUGGAGGAGACGGUGCGGGCCGAGUCAGAGAGACACAAAGCCCACCAAGAUGGCUUCGUCCGUCCCACAAAGAGUACCGGGGCCCGUACCGUCUGUGAGUGGCCAGAAACCUCUCACCCAGAAUCAAAGUCGAAGCGUGGCCGGGGGACCUCUGCUCACUGCCUGCCUGCCUCAUCCUGGGCUUGUCCCGCUCUGGCCUCCGGUACGAAUCCUGUUUUUUUCUUCUCUGUAGCUUAUGAUGCUUUGACAGUGUAGGGGCCUUGCCAGUCCUGGCGACCACCCCUCCCAGGGCUAGCUCAUUCCCAGAGGGGGCAGAAGACUCCCUCCCGUAGGCAAACUAAUCAACCCAGAGCCCACACCCCGACUCACCUCCCUCAGCCACUACUCCUCGGCCCUAAAUCACCCCAGGGCCGGGUUCCCAAGGACUAGACACCCCUACAGCCCAGAGUUCACCAGGACUAUUCAGACUAGCCAAUCCUAGACUUGCUCAAACGUGCCUUCCCUAUCGUUACUCCACCUCCUGACCACCCAGAAGCUUCCCGGCCUGGCAAGGCCCCUCCUCUUGUGACUCAGCAUCUCCAUCAGUUAAAUAAAUCCCAGCACAGAUUGGUCCUGACGCCUCCUUGCUGGGCCCUCCUGCAGAUCCCUCCCUCCUCCAGUGCCGUGCCCCACGUCCCUGACACCCUCUGUAGGAAAGCGAGCCCUCCCAGACCAUGGCCUCUGGUCACUAGACGCCCAUUCAUUUUCUCCCACUGCAGAACGUAAGCCUCUGUCCACGGCCACACCUGCACUGUCUAGAAUUCCUGGCCCACUGCAGGGGCCCGAACAUUUUUGUUUCAUUAAACACAUUCCUCGGGAAGCCUCCUGCGUUCCUCUGCAGCCGACCGGUGUCUCUCCCGCAUGGGACCCUCGGGACCCCACACCCCUCAGCCCGGAGCCGGGGUCCGCUCGUAUCCUACAGUGGGUUUUGACUUUUCUGAUUUGCAACGUGUCUUUCCCCCCCUUUACCUUGUUUCCUCCUUUUCGUAUUCUUAUUUUAUUGGGCUUUUUAUGAGCUGCUCCAAAUCCUUCUAGAACAAGAUGUAUACUUUGUACAGGUGACUUCUGGUUCUCUUAACAGACAUCUGAGGGGUGGGUGUGUACCAGGCAGCUGUCCACGGCUCCACAGUUGGGGGACCAGCACGCCAGAGACAGCACGGCUCAGGCUAAAAUCUAAACCGCUCCCUUGGCAGAAAUCAAGGUUUUAUCCGUCUGUGUUCCUAGUUGUCGUGGCCUGUGGUUUUACAUGUUCUGGAUACGGAUAUUUGCCUCAAGGCAAAACUAAAGACCGUAACAGUCAGGAACAUGUACACCUUAACACUCCUCGGACUGGGAACACACACACAGCGGACCGAAGUCGAGGGCAUGGGUCACGACCUCUGGGUGUGGGGAGUGGGCAGGGGGCAGCGGGGAGGAGACCCCGAUAGUUCUGAUUUCCAUGCUUAAGUGGAUGGUGGGGGUGAGCGUUCACCUUGUGAGCCCUGCGUCUGCGUCAUAAAUGUCCUCUGUUGUGGGAUUAACAUUUAAUGAAAACAUUUUUUGAAGUUUUCUGACCAGUAGGGGAUGCUAAGAAGCCUUCCGGGGCCUGGAAUGUUCUGUCUCUGGAUGCGGAGGGCGUUGCCAGGCUGCACGGGUGCACCUCGAUUCAAAAACUAUACCACGCCAGCCCUUAGCGCACACACAAAGGCUACUCCCACUCCUGCCCAAAGAGAAUUGACUAGAAAAAAAAUUAGUUUGCUGAUUCUUGGAGUUUUUUUUUUCUUUUUAUCAAAACGCACCUCUGAUGUUACAACCCGCACCCAUUUAUUUCUCCAACAAACAAACCACAAACCUCCCAGACACACAGCACAGAGGGGGGCAGGGUCUGCGGGGACCCCGGCCCCUGUCCACUCACCCAAAUGCUGGAUCAGGGUUACACGGGGUGGGGGGUUGCUGCUGGGGACCCUGGAGAGGCACCAUGGUGGGGUGUGGGGGUGACAGGUGGGGGCAGUGCAGUGGGGACCCGGGAUGAGCCCCACUAAUCGGAUAGAAGGCUGAGAUGUUGGAGUCCAGCCCCAGCCUGGGCUGACUCGGGGAGGAAUUAGGAAUUCAGACAACAGUGUCCCCUUUCCCCGCUGGCCUCACACUUCCUUCUCAGAAGCCGGCCCUGCCAGGGCUGUUUUCUGCAGGAGCCAGUCCCGCCGUCUCCUGCCAGCUCCAGCAGGGGUGAGGACACAGACCUUCUAAACUGAGGCAUACGU